CCUACGUGAGGCAGCAGUGAGGAAUAUUGGUCAAUGGGCGCGAGCCUGAACCAGCCAAGUAGCGUGAAGGAUGACUGCCCUACGGGUUGUAAACUUCUUUUAUAAAGGAAUAAAGUGAGGCACGUGUGCCUUUUUGUAUGUACUUUAUGAAUAAGGAUCGACUAACUCCGUGCCAGCAGCCGCGGUAAUACUGAGGAUCCGAGCGUUAUCCGGAUUUAUUGGGUUUAAAGGGAGCGUAGAUGGGUUGUUAAGUCAGUUGUGAAAGUUUGCGGCUCAACCGUAAAAUUGCAAUUGAUACUGGCAGUCUUGAGUACAGUUGAGGUAGGCGGAAUUCGUGGUGUAGCGGUGAAAUGCUUAGAUAUCACGAAGAACUCCGAUUGCGAAGGCAGCUUACUAAACUGCCACUGACAUUGAUGCUCGAAAGUGUGGGUAUCAAACAGGAGUAGAUACCCGAGUAGUC
Molecule: ribosomal RNA, 460 nt
Filed under: uncultured bacterium
Lineage: Bacteria
Description: partial 16S ribosomal RNA
Rfam family: Bacterial small subunit ribosomal RNA
Source: RNAcentral